GAUGUGAAAGACCCGGGGCGUCAACCUCGGAAUAGCAUUUGAAACUGGCAGACUAGAGUACUGUAGAGGGGGGUAGGAAGUUUCAGGUGUAGCGGUGAAAUGCGUAGAGAUCUGAAGGAAUACCGGUGGCGAAGGCGGCCCCCUCGGACAGAUACUGACACUCAGAUGCGAAAGCGUGGGGAGCAAACAGGAUUAGAUACCCCUGGUAG
Molecule: ribosomal RNA, 209 nt
Filed under: uncultured bacterium
Lineage: Bacteria
Description: partial 16S ribosomal RNA
Rfam family: Bacterial small subunit ribosomal RNA
Source: RNAcentral